CAAAACUUGUUAUUCUUCCCUAAUAAAUCCAGACAGUUUUUUGAUCUUUAGGCUCAAAUAUAAAUUACUUCACACUGUAAUUUCUUUGAGAUGUGCCCCCAUGGGUGCUCCACUUCAGGUGUGAGCGUGCCCCCUGCACCUUCGAUCAGAGAUUUUCAUUAGCCGUGCUUGUUCAGCCUGUGCCCUGCACCAAGGCUGUAUCAGUUUGCACAGGCAAACUGCCCUCAGUUCCUUCUGUACCACCAAGUCUCAGAAGGAAACUCCGAAACAGAAGGGACGGAGGGUCGAUAGUGGAGCACAUCUCUAAGAACUACAGUUAAUGCACAAGAACAAGCAGACUCUAAUCCCAUGAACCAUGGAGGAGUCCCACCUUGAGGCAGAGAAUUCUCAGAUUGGGAUGCAGCAGUUGAUCGCUGGACAAAGAGCUAAGUGAAACAAAAGAAACUGUCUAUCAAGGCAAGUCCAGUUAAACUAAGGCACCAUCUAGAACUCAUGUACACAAGGGAAACCAUGAGUUCUCCUCUUCCUGACCAAUGCCAGUAUCACCACCAAAAGACUUGAAAAGCUGAAGGUCAACAUAAUGCAAAAGCAGUAGAUUUGACAUAAUGGAAUACGAAAUCCAGCAUCCCUAACCCUGGCAGUAGCAGGUAUCUGAUGCUACAGAAGAACACAUCACACCAACACCUACCCAAUAACAAACAUCACUAAUUGCACAAAGCUUGCAGGAGAUGGGGGUGUGCUCAGGCUUCCUUCCAGAUGUGAUAUAAACCAGCUUAUUUUCUAAAUAAUGAGAUUUGAUUACCCUUCUCUUAGCAUGCCUACGUGCAAAUUCUAGGUCAUUCAAUUACUGAGCCCUUUAAAAAUAUCCAGCCACUGUAUUUGACUGAAUAACCUCCACUAACAGAGAAUUCCACCAGCUGAGUGCAUGCUGGUUGAAGAAAUAUUUGUAUCUGUUCUAAAGUUACAGGUCAUUCAUUCUAUCUAGUGACUCCUUGUUCUUGUUUAAUGAGGUGGGGGUGGAGGCAGACUCAAUCAUUCUCAUCAUUCCUUUGUAUUUUUGAAUAUCUCAAUGCAGACAUCUCCUGCCUUUUUCCUUUCCAGGCUGAAUAAUCCUAUUUUUUCAGUUAUAUCAUAAACAAGUCAGAUCAUAUCUCUAAUCCUCUGUUUCCCUUCUGUGCAUCAUUUUAUAGUCCCUGUGGCCAACACCACUGCUAACUCUCAUCUUUUCUUUGGUUUUUCAUUUUCUCCCACUAAAGUAAUAUGAGCUACUGAGACACACCUUUGUCUAUGCCCUUUAACUAAGAUUGAAUAGGAAGGUGUAGGGUCCAGAAACUCUUUACCCUUCAUCUCCUCUCUUUAGAAGUUAUGGACAGGGGGUGACUGAAUAUUGCAGCACCUAACUUUUAGGCCCAGAGCAUUGCACAACCUCUUAUUAGGCACCAGGCUCCCCAUACAAUGCAUAAGGAGAAUUAGGAGAUUAAAAAGGGAUUCACAAAAAACAGCAUACUGAGCCAGGAGCCACCUAAACUCUCCUCAGGAAAUGAUUAGGAUGGAGGUGUGUCUUGUUAGGCAAAAGUUAAAAAUUAGCUAACAGCUAAAACAAAAACCGCAGAACAAGCAGGAAUGCUUCAGUAGCAUUAAGUAGCAAGGACACUAACAACUGUAAUCAAUUAAUAAGCUUAUAUGGUCAAUGCCUGCCCAGUAACUCAGCUCUUAGAACAGAACAAACCCUCUCUUCACAGCCCACUGAAUAUCUGUAGGCACUCAUCCCUAACCCACCACCCCACCCCACCCCGCCUCCUUCCCCUGCAAGGUUGUCAUAAACAUUUAAUGCAAUUAAAAUGAUCUUUAUAA
Mauremys mutica (yellowpond turtle) is the source of this 1854-nucleotide long non-coding RNA. RefSeq lists it as uncharacterized. NCBI's taxonomy places the organism in Eukaryota, Metazoa, Chordata, Testudines, Geoemydidae. The record is from RefSeq and is a predicted model, not a curated record. The transcript is spliced from 3 exons.